Molecule: long non-coding RNA, 591 nt
Organism: Aegilops tauschii subsp. strangulata
Lineage: Eukaryota; Viridiplantae; Streptophyta; Magnoliopsida; Poales; Poaceae
Source: RefSeq, a predicted model, not a curated record
GCAAUACAACCACCGAAAUUUGCAAGCGACAUCCCUCCAUCAUCUGAGCAACAUGUCGUUAUACUAGGAAUUUCUUCCGUCCAUCUACGCGCAAAAUACUGGUACUAUGUAAAUAUUGGUACCAGUUUCAGGGUUGCAUUUUGCAGCCGCAACUUCAGAGGAUUUGGUGCACUAAAGCUGAGAGCAAGGUUAAGUUUCACAUACGGCUCAUGAUUCAGAACUGAUUAUGGACUGGCCCCAUUCUCCUACAUGCCUGAUGCCACUUUGCCGAGAGGAUGGUGGAGAAAGGUCUUUGCCAGGGCACCUAAGAGAACGGCAAGAAGCGAUUGGAUUGGGCAUAUAUGCAGUGUGGCAUAUCUGGGAAAAGAGAAACAAUAGGAUUUUUCAGGAUAAAUCGGCAAACGUGGAGACUGUGAUUUCCCUCUUCUUGAAGGACGACAUUGAUGUCCUCUGGAGCGAGCGUGUUUGGAAGUUCUAAGUUGGAGGGUUAUAGAGUUGUUGCUUUUCCUUUUAUAUUUUCUGGAAGCUGUCUAAGCUGAUGUACAGUUUUCCACCUUCUCAAUGCAAAAGCAGAGCUCCUGCUUUUAUCCA